AGUGAACGCUGGCGGUAGGCCUAACACAUGCAAGUUGAACGGCAGCACAGUAAGAGCUUGCUCUUACGGGUGGCGAGUGGCGGACGGGUGAGGAAUACAUCGGAAUCUACUUUUUCGUGGGGGAUAACGUAGGGAAACUUACGCUAAUACCGCAUACGACCUACGGGUGAAAGCAGGGGAUCUUCGGACCUUGCGCGAUUGAAUGAGCCGAUGUCGGAUUAGCUAGUUGGCGGGGUAAAGGCCCACCAAGGCGACGAUCCGUAGCUGGUCUGAGAGGAUGAUCAGCCACACUGGAACUGAGACACGGUCCAGACUCCUACGGGAGGCAGCAGUGGGGAAUAUUGGACAAUGGGCGCAAGCCUGUUCCAGCCAUACCGCGUGGGUGAAGAAGGCCUUCGGGUUGUAAAGCCCUUUUGUUGGGAAAGAAAAGCAGCAGGUUAAUACCCCGCUGUUCUGACGGUACCCAAAGAAUAAGCACCGGCUAACUUCGUG
This 492-nucleotide ribosomal RNA is filed under the name uncultured bacterium. RNAcentral's name for it is "partial 16S ribosomal RNA". It matches the Rfam family "Bacterial small subunit ribosomal RNA", at positions 29 to 507 of the family's 1533-position model. The record is from RNAcentral.